AUUAUUUUAAUGUAUUUUCAUCGAUUUAUAAUGAACAAACAAAGAAUAGUGAAAAAUGAAAGAUACAGAUAAAAUUGAGAAUCAGUUCCACAGAGACAAGAUCUUUUUAAAAUAUGAAAUACAGAAAGAAUAAGAAUUGAAGACUAGCAAUAUCUUUUAAGUAUUUCUAAAAAGAAAUUUUGACAUUCAAUAGAUGGCGACAACAGUCAAUUCUCAGUUCUUUAGCUUUUAAUGCUAAAAAAUCAUCUUUAAAAGGUAAAUAUAUAAAAGAAAAAUCAUCUUCAAAAUGGAAGAAGUAUAUUAAGGCAAACAGAAGUGAAUAUUUUACAACUAAUUUUUUAAAACUUUCGAAAACUUUUAUAAA
Molecule: long non-coding RNA, 364 nt
Organism: Apis dorsata (giant honeybee)
Lineage: Eukaryota; Metazoa; Arthropoda; Insecta; Hymenoptera; Apidae
Exons: 2
Source: RefSeq, a predicted model, not a curated record